This 843-nucleotide long non-coding RNA is filed under the name Cricetulus griseus (Chinese hamster). RNAcentral's name for it is "lncRNA (ENSCGRG00015036953.1)". The record is from RNAcentral. Lineage: Eukaryota; Metazoa; Chordata; Mammalia; Rodentia; Cricetidae.
CGUUUUUCUAAGAAAAUUAAGCAAAGCGGCUCACGUAAUUUUUACUUAAUUUUUAAAUUACUUAAAUUUUAGCUUUCUUUGCUUAAUCUGUCAGCCUUGUUGUAAAUUACAUCCGUUCAGCAGCAUAACUUAGAAAGCCACAGAAUCAUGAAUGUAGCCAUCACAAAGAUACCUAAGUGUGACUUUCAAAAUGCUGGCAUCCAGUCUUGUGCUGUAUAUUCACUGUUGUGUAAUCUCUCCUUCUACCCUCUACUCUCAAAUCUAAAGAGUGUGCUUGCCCUUAAACCUCACUAACUCUGCUUCACCCUGACUCAUCUUAAAUUGUUGUCUGUAGUGUAGUCAAAGUCCAAGCUUUAUUUGAGUUUAGGUGCCUAAGGGAGGAGGGGCUUCUUAGGCUGUUGGCAGCAGUGCUGGACCCAUUUUCCCAGGGCGCCCAGCAGGGUUCAGAGUUUGAUGCCUCUGGUAAGCGAGUGCUGCCCCACUCUUCUUGAGACACCUAUUUGUACUUGCCUUUUUGUUACCUCAGCAUCUGUUGAUGCUCAAUGCCAAGCUUCCCUUAUUCAUAGGAGAUCAAACAUUAUAAUAUGGGCUGGCAACAUGGCUCAGUGGAUAAGAGCACCUGUCCUCAAACCUGACUCCUGACUUGGAUCCCAGGGAUUCACACAGUGGAAGAAGAGAACUGACACCCACAGGUUUUCCUCCAACCUCCAGAGCCAGAGUUCAGAUCCCACCACUACAUAACAGAUGAUAACCAUCCAGUUGCAGAGGAUCCAAUGCCCUCUUCUGCCUUUAUGGGCACCAGCACGAAUGUGGUAUACAGGCAUAUGUGCAGUCAAAACACCU